RNAcentral lists this transfer RNA (74 nucleotides) under Planctomycetota bacterium. Its description in RNAcentral is "Planctomycetes bacterium (marine metagenome) tRNA-Pro". It matches the Rfam family "tRNA". From Rfam's summary of the family: Transfer RNA (tRNA) molecules are approximately 80 nucleotides in length. Their secondary structure includes four short double-helical elements and three loops (D, anti-codon, and T loops). The record is from RNAcentral. Lineage: Bacteria; Pseudomonadati; Planctomycetota.
CACGAUGUGGCGAAGUCUGGCAUCGCACCAGUUUCGGGAACUGGGGACCGUCGGUUCAAAUCCGACCAUCGUGA